UACGGAGGGAGCUAGCGUUGUUCGGAAUUACUGGGCGUAAAGCGCGCGUAGGCGGCUUUGUAAGUUAGAGGUGAAAGCCCGGGGCUCAACUCCGGAACUGCCUUUAAUACUGCCAGUCUCGAGUCCGGAAGAGGUAAGUGGAACUCCUAGUGUAGAGGUGGAAUUCGUAGAUAUUAGGAAGAACACCAGUGGCGAAGGCGGCUUACUGGUCCGGUACUGACGCUGAGGUGCGAAAGCGUGGGGAGCAAACAGG
Molecule: ribosomal RNA, 253 nt
Filed under: uncultured bacterium
Lineage: Bacteria
Description: partial 16S ribosomal RNA
Rfam family: Bacterial small subunit ribosomal RNA
Source: RNAcentral